This is a long non-coding RNA of Hippocampus comes (tiger tail seahorse), 428 nucleotides long. RefSeq lists it as uncharacterized. The record is from RefSeq and is a predicted model, not a curated record. Lineage: Eukaryota; Metazoa; Chordata; Actinopteri; Syngnathiformes; Syngnathidae. The transcript is spliced from 2 exons.
AGAAACCAACAAUAACUGUGAUCAAAAUAUAACAUUUUAUUGAGGUCAGAAAGAUACCCAACAAGAGUGGAGGACAUGACCAAGUUGCAAAGAGACACGCGACGCCGUCUUCGUCCUCCCACACCCGCAAUGCAAACAGUCGACUGCACGGCGCCAGCAGACGCUCAAACUUAACUGUCGACUGGCGGCAAUUUUUAGCCGCCUUUGCCGCCGGCGUCCGCCAUCUGUUUGGGGCGGACGGCAAUCUGCUGCGACGAGGCGGCGAAGGGAUUGAACAGAGGCUGAAAAGCCAGGGUGGCUUUGCCUCCCUCCGUGUGCCGCCAAGUUUGCGCAAGACGCAGCCUUUAACCCCCAAAACACCAGCUACGUGACGUUCUUCUGCGUCCGUACCACGUGUAAAUAUUUGGGUCAAAUAGGACGAUUGUAGU